UACGUAGGUGGCAAGCGUUGUCCGGAUUUACUGGGCGUAAAGGGCGCGUAGGCGGUCAGCACAAGUCAGUUGUGAAAUCUCCGGGCUUAACUCGGAAAGGUCAACUGAUACUGUGCGACUAGAGUGCAGAAGGGGCAACUGGAAUUCUCGGUGUAGCGGUGAAAUGCGUAGAUAUCGAGAGGAACACCUGCGGCGAAGGCGGGUUGCUGGGCUGACACUGACGCUGAUGCGCGAAAGCCAGGGGAGCGAACGGG
This 254-nucleotide ribosomal RNA is filed under the name uncultured bacterium. RNAcentral describes it as "partial 16S ribosomal RNA". It matches the Rfam family "Bacterial small subunit ribosomal RNA", at positions 524 to 776 of the family's 1533-position model. The record is from RNAcentral.